This 447-nucleotide ribosomal RNA is filed under the name uncultured bacterium. RNAcentral describes it as "partial 16S ribosomal RNA". It matches the Rfam family "Bacterial small subunit ribosomal RNA", at positions 331 to 793 of the family's 1533-position model. The record is from RNAcentral.
CCAGACUCCUACGGGAGGCAGCAGUGGGGAAUAUUGGGCAGUGGACGCAAGUCUGACCCAGCAACGCCGCGUGAAGGAAGAAGGCUUUCGGGUUGUAAACUUCUUUUAAGGGGGAAGAGCAGAAGACGGUACCCCUUGAAUAAGCCACGGCUAACUACGUGCCAGCAGCCGCGGUAAUACGUAGGUGGCAAGCGUUGUCCGGAUUUACUGGGUGUAAAGGGAGCGUAGGCGGCAGUGCAAGUCAGAAGUGGAAGCCCGGGGCUCAACCCCGGGACUGCUUUUGAAACUGUACAGCUUGAUUGCAGGAGAGGCAAGUGGAAUUCCUAGUGUAGCGGUGAAAUGCGUAGAUAUUAGGAGGAACACCAGUGGCGAAGGCGGCUUGCUGGACUGUAAAUGACGCUGAGGCUCGAAAGCGUGGGGAGCAAACAGGAUUAGAUACCCUAGUAC